UGAAAGGACAAUAAAUAGUGAGAAAUGAGGUGAGGACAGAACAGAGAAGGUAGAAAUUGCACAAUCCCAGAUGGCGCUGCAACUUGACUGGAACACACUGAGAUCCCAGAUGUGGGACCAUUUUCCCACGAAAGCUUUGUGGUCACUGCCUGGAAUCGAACUCGGAA
Octopus sinensis (East Asian common octopus) is the source of this 167-nucleotide long non-coding RNA. RefSeq lists it as uncharacterized. NCBI's taxonomy places the organism in Eukaryota, Metazoa, Mollusca, Cephalopoda, Octopoda, Octopodidae. The transcript has 3 exons. The record is from RefSeq and is a predicted model, not a curated record.